AGUAUAAAAUGUAUGUAGUUAAAAUUAUGUUUUUGUUUUAAUAUAAUAUUGUAUUAUUUAUUUAUAUUUUGAGGUAAAAACUAUGUAAUGUUUUCUAUGAUAAUUUAGUUAAUUGAUUGUAAAUCCUUAAAUUAUAUUAUAUUUUUCAGGUGCUUUGUGUUUUUCAUGUACAAAAAGUAACUGUAACAAAGUGUACAAAUCAAGAAAUGCACUGUACACUCAUCAGAAAUACGAAUGUGGGGUAAAACCAAUGUUUAGGUGCACAUUAUGUAUGAAAUCUUUUAAGCAACCAGGAAGUUAUAAGUGUCAUAUGAUAUCUAAACAUAAGCAACUUGUUUAGACAAUAUAAUGUAGCAACUGGUAUAAUACAAAUUGUGACUAAAGCAAAUAUUCACCGGUGUCCAAAUGAAAAGUGUGG
Long non-coding RNA from Acyrthosiphon pisum (pea aphid), 418 nucleotides. RefSeq lists it as uncharacterized. Lineage: Eukaryota; Metazoa; Arthropoda; Insecta; Hemiptera; Aphididae. The transcript is spliced from 2 exons. The record is from RefSeq and is a predicted model, not a curated record.